AUAAUACUCCCUCCGUCCCGAAUUAGUUGACUCGGAUUUCUCUAGAUCCGAAUAUAUCUAGACACAUUUUAGUGUUAGAUACAUCCGUAUCUAGACAAAUCUAAGUCAACUAAUUUGAGACGGAGGUAAUAGUAU
Molecule: non-coding RNA, 135 nt
Organism: Triticum aestivum (bread wheat)
Lineage: Eukaryota; Viridiplantae; Streptophyta; Magnoliopsida; Poales; Poaceae
Source: Rfam